This 379-nucleotide long non-coding RNA is filed under the name Olea europaea (common olive). RNAcentral's name for it is "long non-coding RNA (OEUR_LNC005421)". Lineage: Eukaryota; Viridiplantae; Streptophyta; Magnoliopsida; Lamiales; Oleaceae. The record is from RNAcentral.
ACUCUCGACAGUUGAUCACGAACCUCCAAAUAGUUGGUCACAAACAUUUUCAUACUACACCGCCCCACAAUCGCAACCUGCAAACACCACACCACGUCGCCACCAACGUUAACACUACCACCACCAUCACCACCGCAGCCGCCGCACCACUAACACCUCUAUUUCCAAACCACCAAGAAAACCCCAAAAUCGCCCACAUGUCAUGCCUUCUGCCGACUAGAUCAAACCACAACAAUCAAACCACCACCUCACCACCAACACCACAAAAACCAUCACAACCACCACCACUUAGGUCAUUACACCGGUGAAGAAGAAAAAACAACCUACAACCACCACAACUCAAUCACAACAACAACUUGUAACCACCACACCACAAUCG